AGAACGAACGCUGGCGGCAGGCUUAACACAUGCAAGUCGAACGCCCCGCAAGGGGAGUGGCAGACGGGUGAGUAACACGUGGGAACGUCCCCCUCGGUUCGGAAUAACUCAGGGAAACUUGAGCUAAUACCGAAUACGUCCGAGAGGAGAAAGAUUUAUCGCCGAGGGAUCGGCCCGCGUCUGAUUAGCUAGUUGGUGAGGUAACGGCUCACCAAGGCGACGAUCAGUAGCU
Molecule: ribosomal RNA, 232 nt
Filed under: uncultured bacterium
Lineage: Bacteria
Description: partial small subunit ribosomal RNA
Rfam family: Bacterial small subunit ribosomal RNA
Source: RNAcentral